AAUUUUGAUCUUGAUCUCCUCUGGUCCAAUGGUUGGACAGGGUGUUCCUCAUGUCACUCAUAAUUAUACAAAGUCAUCUGGCCUCUAUAGGAAGAUCCACACGAAGAUUGGCACAGAUCAGAGGCUCGGAGAUGCUAGUCUGCGAACAACUUCGAUAGCUGAUCUCUUUCUUCUUCUACAAGUACCUUGGACACUCCAAAGUAAUAGGAGAUCUGG
RNAcentral lists this long non-coding RNA (216 nucleotides) under Elaeis guineensis (African oil palm). RNAcentral's name for it is "long non-coding RNA (EGUI_LNC050111)". The record is from RNAcentral. Lineage: Eukaryota; Viridiplantae; Streptophyta; Magnoliopsida; Arecales; Arecaceae.